AAAUUGGAUUUAGACUUUAUCGACUUAUUUCAUAUCAUGGUUCAGGCCUUAAAAAUCAGUGAGGUUUACUCUUCCUUUUCGAUGCCCGUGGAACUACUGUCAAUGGUUUACUCAAUUACUUCUUGGGAAUGUUAAAAAAAAAGAUUACUACGACCUUUCGAAUUUUGGAAAUUGGAUUUAGACUUUAUCGACUUAUUUCAUAUCAUGGUUCAGGCCUUAAAAAUCAGUGAGGUUUACUCUUCCUUUUCGAUGCCCGUGGAACUACUGUCAAUGGUUUACUUCUUAGGAAUGUUAAAAAAAAAAAGAUUACUACGUGAUUUUUUGAAUAUGCCUAUAUCUAUCGCUUUUGCUUCAUUGAUUUGAUUCUCUCAAUAGAUACUGAGAUUCAUAUUGGAAAUCAAAAAUAUAGUAAUUCAAACUAUAAGACAUAGGAGUAAUUCAGAUUGAUCAGAACAAAUAGAUAUAGCAAAUAAAUGGAAUUGGAUGCUAUGUCAAUCCCAUAUAUGGAAUUGAUAUUCACAUAUAUCAAGAUAAUAUUGUAGAUUGAUAUAUAGAUCCAUAUCAAA
Molecule: long non-coding RNA, 566 nt
Filed under: Nicotiana benthamiana
Lineage: Eukaryota; Viridiplantae; Streptophyta; Magnoliopsida; Solanales; Solanaceae
Description: long non-coding RNA (NBEN_LNC036871)
Source: RNAcentral